AUGGCGACGCGGCAGACGCAGGACUACGGCGGCGACCGGCUGAGCGCACUCCCGGACACGGCGUUGGUGCGCGUGCUGUCCCAUCUCUCGUCCAACGAGGUGGCGCGCGCCUGCGCGCUGUCCCGCCGGUGGCGCCGCGUCUUCGCCGCCGUGCCAGUCGUCGACCUCGUCGACCCCAGGACAGAGACAGGACACCCGGGAGGGGACAUCGCCGUGUGCUUCGACAUGCUGGUGACGAGCGUGAUCUUGGGACAUCAUGCCCACGCGCCGAUCCGCGUCCUCCGGCUCAUCGCGCUCGACACCCCGGUCGGCCUCCUCGACCAGUGGGUCGGCAUCGCCACCUCCUCCGGCGCCAAGGAGGUCGACUUCGAUUUGCACUACCCGUACCUGUCCCGCCGCAAACUCUGCCCCUUCGGGACCAAGAAGGCCUCGGCCGACUUCGACGCGGUCGAACACGGCCAGUACACCAAGACUCCACAGCAGCUCUUCCGGUGCGGCACGCUGCGCCUCCUGCGCCUCACCAAUUGGACGCUCGACCUGCCCUCGUGCUUUGGAGUCGCCGCGUCGCUGGACACACUCUGCCUUAAGCGGAUCAUGGCCACGAACGGGGUCAUCCAGGAGCUGCUCUCCUGCUGCCCCCGCCUCGCCGACCUGACGUUGGAGGAGUGCCCGGGAGCCAGGAAGAUCACCGUGCCGAGCGACCGCCUCCGGAGCUUCGCCAUGGUCUGCUGCCACAAGGGCAAGCGCGUCGUGCUGCAGACCCCACGCCUGCGUUCUCUGCGGUACAAGGGCGGCCUCCCUCGGGACACGUGGUUAAUCUACGCCGAUGACUACGAGGACGUCGCGGCAGUGACCAUCGACAUUUGCGAGGACCUCACCAGCAAAGCACCAAAGCAGGUCGCUCACCUCAUGAAGCUCAUCAGCCGGUGCAAGAACCUGACAUAUCUCCACCUUGCGCUGCUCCCAUCCAUGGCCUACUACUGCAGCGAGUUCAUGGCUGUCCUCGGCAGCCUGCCAGAACUCAGUCAGCUGGUCCUGAAGGGGUUCAUGGCGGCCGAUCACGCCGUCCUGUCUGUCGCUGUACUGCUCGUCAACGCCCGGAACCUGGAAGUGCUCUCGUUGUUUCCUGUCGUUCUCAAGCCCACGGAGAAGAAGACUUGCUCCUCGAGAUACUACCCUGAUUCAGACGACGAGGAGGAGCCCGAGAACUGCAGCGUCGUCGAGGAGGCCGUGGACUAUGAGUGGACGAAUAAGAACCUGCGGCGGAUGAACAUCCCCUGCUUGGGUCAUAGCCUGAGGAGGAUCAACAUUGAAAUGUACACUGGGAAUGCCUUCGACAGGAUACUUGCACGGUUCCUGCUAAACAAGGCUGGGGCGUUGGAGGAAUUCUCGGUGACAUUAUCAGCUCCAGUUUCGGCACAGAAGGAAGAGAUUGCAAUGGAAUUAAGAUCUUGGUUAUAUAAUCCCAGUGCUAUAGUAACUUGUGAAUAG
RNAcentral lists this ribosomal RNA (1491 nucleotides) under Triticum aestivum (bread wheat). Its description in RNAcentral is "partial small subunit ribosomal RNA". The record is from RNAcentral. Lineage: Eukaryota; Viridiplantae; Streptophyta; Magnoliopsida; Poales; Poaceae.